RNAcentral lists this small RNA (29 nucleotides) under Bombyx mori (domestic silkworm). Its description in RNAcentral is "piRNA piR-bmo-1852944". Lineage: Eukaryota; Metazoa; Arthropoda; Insecta; Lepidoptera; Bombycidae. The record is from RNAcentral.
UGGUUUUGGCACUGGUCGCCGCAUACGAC